Molecule: ribosomal RNA, 370 nt
Filed under: uncultured bacterium
Lineage: Bacteria
Description: bacterial SSU rRNA
Rfam family: Bacterial small subunit ribosomal RNA
Source: RNAcentral
AGAGGGUCCGAGCGUUGUCCGGAAUCAGUGGGCGUAAAGGGCGCGUAGGCGGCCUGAUAAGUAGGGGGUGAAAUCUUCCGGUUUAAACCCAAGGCUGCCUUGUAAACUGUCAGGGUAGAGCACAGUAGAGGCAGGUGGAAUUCCCGGCGUAGCGGUGGAAUGCGUAGAGAUCGGGAAGAACAUCCAGGGGAAGGCGGCCUGCUGGGUUGUUGCUGACGCUGAGGCGCGGCAGUGUGGGGAGCAUACAGGAUUAGAUACCCUGGUAGUUCCCACCGUAAACGACGGGCAGUAGGCGUCGGGGGGAGCUACCCUUCCGGGGCCGUCGCUAACGCAGUAAGUGCCCCGCAAGGGGAGUACGCCCUCAAGGCUG